AUUGAACGCUGGCGGCAGGCUUAACACAUGCAAGUCGGACGGUAACAGGGAGGAAGCUUGCUUUCUUUGCUGACGAGUGGCGGACGGGUGAGUAAUGCUUGGGAAUCUGUUUAUGGAGGGGGAUAACUACGGGAAACUGUAGCUAAUACCGCGUAAUAUCGAGAGAUUAAAGUGUGGGACCGUAAGGCCACAUGCCAUAGAGUGAGCCCAAGUGGGAUUAGGUAGUUGGUGGGGUAAAGGCUUACCAAGCCGUCGAUCUCUAGCUGGUCUGAGAGGAUGACCAGCCACACUGGGACUGAGACACGGCCCAGACUCCUACGGGAGGCAGCUGUGGGGAAUAUUGCACAAUGGGCGCAAGCCUGAUGCAGCCAUGCCGCGUGAAUGAAGAAGGCCUUCGGGUUGUAAAGUUCUUUCGGUGGUGAGGAAGGUUGUAAUGUUAAUAGCAUUAUAAUUUGACGUUAGCCACAGAAGAAGCACCGGCUAACUCCGUGCCAGCAGCCGCGGUAAUACGGAGGGUGCGAGCGUUAAUCGGAAUAACUGGGCGUAAAGGGCACGCAGGCGGAUACUUAAGUGAGGUGUGAAAGCCCUGGGCUUAACCUAGGAAUUGCAUUUCAUACUGGGUAUCUAGAGUAUUUUAGGGAGGGGUAGAAUUCCACGUGUAGCGGUGAAAUGCGUAGAGAUGUGGAGGAAUACCGAAGGCGAAGGCAGCCCCUUGGGGGAAUACUGACGCUCAUGUGCGAAAGCGUGGGGAGCAAACAGG
This 760-nucleotide ribosomal RNA is filed under the name uncultured bacterium. RNAcentral describes it as "bacterial SSU rRNA". It matches the Rfam family "Bacterial small subunit ribosomal RNA", at positions 28 to 776 of the family's 1533-position model. The record is from RNAcentral.